CUGAGCCUUGAGACUCUUUGUCAGAAUCACACUUGUUAAUCAAACAAGUGUUUCUAGGCCACACAUGGUUCCCCUCAUGGAGCACCUCAUUAGUCUGCUUUCUGCUGCUAUGACAAAAUACCUGAGGAUGGAUACUUUGCAAAGAAAAAAGGGUUAUUAACUCAUAGUUCUGGAGGUUCAAGAGCAUGGUCGUGGCUUUGUGGGGGGGGGCUUCUUGUCUUCAUCACAACACGGGUGUCAUCAUGCUGGGAGUGUGCAUGAGGGAGAGACCACAUCACAUGAAAAGACAGGAAGCCAGAGAUUAGGGAAGGGCCAGGCUAGCUCUCUUACAAAGACUUAUUUUCAUGGGAACCAGCUUGCUCUGUGAGAUCAGGAACCAUGUCUUCCACCAGCAAUUCCCUCAAUGUCCUAAUUUCUCCCACUCAACCCUUUCCUAGCUCUCCAGCCUCGGUGAAAGCUGCACAAUUCUAACAUCAUGAAGUUGACUGUGCUGCCAAAAAUUUUGCCUUCCAGAGAUGCACACAAGGAGAACGCUGUGUUCAGAUAAAGACCAAGAUCUGCCAAGACUUCUUCAAAGCAAGGAUGUCACGAAACAUUGUCAGCAACCACCAGAAGCUAGGAGGCAGGACAAAGAUCUUCCCUUACCACCCUCAGGAGGAACUAGCCCUGCCAAUGCCCCACUUCAGGCUUCUGGCUUCCAGACUGUGAGAC
This 711-nucleotide long non-coding RNA is filed under the name Heterocephalus glaber (naked mole-rat). RNAcentral's name for it is "lncRNA (ENSHGLG00000033646.1)". The record is from RNAcentral. Lineage: Eukaryota; Metazoa; Chordata; Mammalia; Rodentia; Bathyergidae.